UACGUAGGGGGCAAGCGUUGUCCGGAUUUAUUGGGCGUAAAGAGCGUGUAGGCGGCCAAGCAGGUCAGCUGUGAAAACUCGAGGCUCAACCUCGAGACGUCGGUUGAAACCGCUUGGCUAGAGUCCGGAAGAGGAGAGUGGAAUUCCCGGUGUAGCGGUGAAAUGCGUAGAUAUCGAGAGGAACACCUGCGGCGAAGGCGGGUUGCUGGGCCGACACUGACGCUGAUGCGCGAAAGCCAGGGGAGCGAACGGG
RNAcentral lists this ribosomal RNA (253 nucleotides) under uncultured prokaryote. RNAcentral's name for it is "partial 16S ribosomal RNA". It matches the Rfam family "Bacterial small subunit ribosomal RNA", at positions 524 to 776 of the family's 1533-position model. The record is from RNAcentral.